AUUGAACGCUGGCGGCAGGCCUAACACAUGCAAGUCGAGCGGAUGAAGGGAGCUUGCUCCUGGAUUCAGCGGCGGACGGGUGAGUAAUGCCUAGGAAUCUGCCUGUUAGUGGGGGAUAACGUCCGGAAACGGGCGCUAAUACCGCAUACGUCCUGAGGGAGAAAGUGGGGGAUCUUCGGACCUCACGCUAUCAGAUGAGCCUAGGUCGGAUUAGCUAGUUGGUGGGGUAAAGGCCUACCAAGGCGACGAUCCGUAACUGGUCUGAGAGGAUGAUCAGUCACACUGGAACUGAGACACGGUCCAGACUCCGACGGGAGGCAGCAGUGGGGAAUAUUGGACAAUGGGCGGAAGCCUGAUCCAGCCAUGCCGCGUGUGUGAAGAAGGUCUUCGGAUUGUAAAGCACUUUAAGUUGGGAGGAAGGGCAGUAAGUUAAUACCUUGCUGUUUUGACGUUACCAACAGAAUAAGCACCGGCUAACUUCGUG
This 484-nucleotide ribosomal RNA is filed under the name uncultured bacterium. RNAcentral describes it as "partial 16S ribosomal RNA". It matches the Rfam family "Bacterial small subunit ribosomal RNA", at positions 30 to 507 of the family's 1533-position model. The record is from RNAcentral.